GUCAGGAUGGCCGAGUGGUCUAAGGCGCCAGACUCAAGUUCUGGUCCUCUAACAAGGGCGUGGGUUCAAAUCCCACUUCUGACA
This 84-nucleotide transfer RNA is filed under the name Zea mays. RNAcentral describes it as "tRNA-Leu (CAA) (tRNA-Leu-CAA-4-1)". It matches the Rfam family "tRNA". Rfam says of the family: Transfer RNA (tRNA) molecules are approximately 80 nucleotides in length. Their secondary structure includes four short double-helical elements and three loops (D, anti-codon, and T loops). The record is from Rfam by way of RNAcentral. Lineage: Eukaryota; Viridiplantae; Streptophyta; Magnoliopsida; Poales; Poaceae.